Choloepus didactylus (southern two-toed sloth) is the source of this 335-nucleotide long non-coding RNA. RefSeq lists it as uncharacterized. Lineage: Eukaryota; Metazoa; Chordata; Mammalia; Pilosa; Megalonychidae. The transcript has 2 exons. The record is from RefSeq and is a predicted model, not a curated record.
UCUGGAACUACCCCUCCCACCCCCCCCACCCCCCAAGGUGAAGGAUUUGGAGGCUGGGCUCCAAUCGAGGCGGAGGCUGCGGGGCCUGCGGGGUGCCCCCCGCCCCGCACACGCCUCCUGGGAGCCCUGGAAGGCGUAGCCCCGGGGAGCCCCCUGCGCCCUCGGAGGAGGCAGCGGCGUAUUCCUCGGGGUAUCUCUGGGCCGGGAAGACCGCAGCUCUGAGUUCCUCGAGCAACUAAAAGAAGAGAGAAAGAUGCUCUCCAAAUGCACCCAGCUCAGUUCCUUCUGCCCCCCUCGCUGUGCUCAGAAAUAAAAAGAUGCCCUCCCACAGUUGG